This is a long non-coding RNA of Cyanistes caeruleus (blue tit), 1704 nucleotides long. NCBI's taxonomy places the organism in Eukaryota, Metazoa, Chordata, Aves, Passeriformes, Paridae. The record is from Ensembl.
AUGGUGUGGGAAAAGUUUUUACUCUUAUGUUAUGGAUGUAUGAUUUUGUCUCAAGCGACUGAGAAUCAGAGUACCGAACCAAAUUUAGCUUGGGAGUUGAUACAAGGAUUUAUGCAUAUUUGGAAUCACACAAAUCAAGGAAUAUGUGUCAACCUUCCCAACUCUGCAUCAGAGGGGUUUAGAUUUAUGAUGAUUUGGUUAAAUUUUUCGGAACUAUUAACGAGAGAACUGGAUAAUCUUAAAAAAACAGGAGGAAAUGUUACCUGGGGAAUGGUGGAAUCCCAGUUCCUAGACCAGAAAGAAGGACAACAAUGGGAUGCAAAUGGGACAUGGGUAGAAUACAAGAACGCCUUUUACCAGCUCCCACGUGAUUCUACCUGGAGCCAUUUAUGGAAUCAGACAUGCUAUCGGUCAUUAGACACCAAUCCUACCGAGACAUUGCAAAAUGUCACUUCUAUCCCUUGCACUGUGGUACCGUGGUGGGAUUCUCCUGCUGAGGGUGGGUUUUUUGAACAUGAGUACAAUUUACACUGGGAUGCAGGAUGGUGUAUACAAAUCCCUGAUAACCCAGGAACCGCGCACCAAGUUAACCGAACAAAUUAUGAGUGGGCCUGGUCUCUGAAGCAAAUCUUUGACCCUGUAUCUACCCUACAGUGGGCUUCCAGGGUCCCCACGGGGAAAAUAGUAGAAUGGGAAGUGGAGAAAUCAGACUGUAAGGACCAUCAGACCAUACUACCUAACGGAGAGAGCAUCUGCUGGAAAGUGAGGAACCGUAGAAGCAUUACCCAAAGUAAAUCAGAGACCUCCUUUCUGAAUUGUUCCCGUAUAUUAGAUUGUACCACAGGAGCAGGUGAGCCUAUAGAAACCUGGUACAUCUCAGAGCUGAGAACUUUUAUCCGGGACAUGUGUACCUGUUGGGAUUAUCCCAACUAUGGCUAUCUAAACCAAGACACCCGGUGCAAUGGGUCUUAUGAGAAUUCGGAGACAGCACUAUCCUGCGGCAUUCCCAUUACGCAUGGCCCUGACCAAAGGAGGGUCUGGAAUUCAAGCAGCGAAGCACAGGAAGUUCCCCAAGGUGACCUGUAUCAAUGUUCACAAGCCCAAUAUCCAGCUCCACGGGGAACGGUAUGGGCAUGUUCAGAUGGGAAAAUGUAUUCCCACUUGAACAUGUAUGAUAUGGCUGGACUCCAGUGUACUAUUGGGUUUCCUACCAUGUGUCCAUCUAAAACGUUCAAUUAUACACUUUAUCGUAACUCCAAAGCGCGGAGAGAAGUCCACGAUCCAACAGAUGCAAAAGGGUGGAUUCGGGGGAUUCAAGUCCCUGACUAUUAUGCCUGGGGACAAAAUGUUGCUUUAGACUUAGAAUCAUUUUUUGUGUCCAGUGGAGUUAUCCAACAGCACAAGUAUGUCUUGGAGAACUUAACUAGGCAAGUCCAUGUGUUAAGCAACUGGACCGGACGUUCACUCAGGGAACCAAAUGUGCAGGCCCAGCAGGCAUCAAAAAUGGCUUUGCAGAACCGAUUAGCCCUAGAUAUGUUGUUGUUGAAAGAGAAUGGAGUGUGUGGGAUGCUAAAGCUAAUGGAUGGAGAAUGCUGUGUCACUGUCCAUAACGCCACCACCACCAUAGAAGAGGCACGUCAGAAGAUGAAGGAGAUUGCUGAACAAAUGGGAGAACUGUUUCAAGCAAUGGAACCAAAGGACUAG